GCAAACUUGGUCAUUUAGAGGAAGUAAAAGUCGUAACAAGGUUUCCGUAGGUGAACCUGCGGAAGGAUCAUUAAAGAUUCUGGCCUUGGCCAACACUUCUUCAGCUGUGCGCCACGGCUGCACGCUGUUGAAACCUCACACACCCUGUGCGCAUCUCGGUCGGCCCCCCCUCACAGGGGCGGCCCUCCGCCUUUUAAACAUCAAACAACAGGAACAGAAUGUAACACAAACCAAUUGUAACAACUUUCAACAACGGAUCUCUUGGCUCUCGCAUCGAUGAAGAACGCAGC
RNAcentral lists this unclassified non-coding RNA (290 nucleotides) under uncultured fungus. Its description in RNAcentral is "partial contains small subunit ribosomal RNA, internal transcribed spacer 1, and 5.8S ribosomal RNA". The stretch from base 1 to 73 matches the Rfam family "Eukaryotic small subunit ribosomal RNA", at positions 1759 to 1831 of the family's 1831-position model. Lineage: Eukaryota; Fungi. The record is from RNAcentral.